Molecule: ribosomal RNA, 253 nt
Filed under: uncultured bacterium
Lineage: Bacteria
Description: partial 16S ribosomal RNA
Rfam family: Bacterial small subunit ribosomal RNA
Source: RNAcentral
UACAGAGGGUGCGAGCGUUGUUCGGAAUUACUGGGCGUAAAGCGCACGCAGGCGGCCUAUCAAGUCUGACGUGAAAGCUCCUGGCUUAACUGGGAGAGGUCGUUGGAAACUGAGGGGCUUGAGGCAAUGAGAGGGGUGUGGAAUUCCCGGUGUAGUGGUGGAAUGCGUAGAUAUCGGGGGGAACACCAGUGGCGAAAGCGGCACCCUGGCAUUGGCCUGACGCUCAUGUGCGAAAGCGUGGGGAGCGAACGGG